CAGGUGCUGGACUUGCCUCUGUGGAUGUGCGCUGAGCUCUCACUGCAGGGGACUGUGAGGCCUGACUGGCUCUUGAAGAAACUUGAAGAAGGAAUUUGGAUAUAUAAAAACAA
This is a long non-coding RNA of Oenanthe melanoleuca, 113 nucleotides long. RefSeq lists it as uncharacterized. The record is from RefSeq and is a predicted model, not a curated record. NCBI's taxonomy places the organism in Eukaryota, Metazoa, Chordata, Aves, Passeriformes, Muscicapidae. The transcript has 2 exons.